AUUGAACGCUGGCGGCAUGCUUUACACAUGCAAGUCGAACGGCAGCGCGGGCUUCGGCCUGGCGGCGAGUGGCGAACGGGUGAGUAAUGCAUCGGAACGUCCCCAGUAGUGGGGGAUAGCCCGGCGAAAGCCGGAUUAAUACCGCAUACGACCUGAGGGUGAAAGCGGGGGACCGAAAGGCCUCGCGCUAUUGGAGCGGCCGAUGUCGGAUUAGCUAGUUGGUGGGGUAAAGGCUUACCAAGGCGACGAUCCGUAGCUGGUCUGAGAGGACGACCAGCCACACGGGAAUGGGGAGACGGCCCGGCUUCCUAGGGGGGGCGGAGGGGGGAAAUUGUGGCAAUGGGGGCAACCCUGAUCCAGCCAUGCCGCGUGCGGGAAGAAGGCCUUCGGGUUGUAAACCGCUUUUGUUCGGGAAGAAAUCCUCUGGGCUAAUACCCCGGGGGGAUGACGGUACCGGAAGAAUAAGCACCGGCUAACUACGUG
Molecule: ribosomal RNA, 483 nt
Filed under: uncultured bacterium
Lineage: Bacteria
Description: partial 16S ribosomal RNA
Rfam family: Bacterial small subunit ribosomal RNA
Source: RNAcentral